UUCACUCAAAUAUUUUGAUUCUCAACACUUUUCUUAUCAGCUUUUCGACUCGGUAAAUCGAAUAGAUAAAGCGAUUAGUAAGGUGUUAAAGUAAACUAAAACUUAAAGCGACUCUUUCAAAAUGCUAAAUUUUCAUUGACCUGCAAU
Caenorhabditis elegans is the source of this 147-nucleotide non-coding RNA. Lineage: Eukaryota; Metazoa; Nematoda; Chromadorea; Rhabditida; Rhabditidae. The record is from Ensembl.